Long non-coding RNA from Acanthopagrus latus (yellowfin seabream), 1896 nucleotides. RefSeq lists it as uncharacterized. Lineage: Eukaryota; Metazoa; Chordata; Actinopteri; Spariformes; Sparidae. The record is from RefSeq and is a predicted model, not a curated record. The transcript is spliced from 2 exons.
AAACCAAACCAAAAAGAAAAAGGGAGAGUCCCAACAAGGACGUGGAAUACGCUGGAAGGCUACGCCAUUGACGCCAGACCUCGCAGAGUAUCAGCAUCAGGAUGAAUCUGAUCUAGACAGACAUGGCUGGACCCCACUAGACUAUUUUGAACAGUACAUAGAUAAAGAUUUGAUGACAAUGAUUGCAGAAUGCUCGAAUGUUAUGUCACUGUCUAAGAGUGGGGACCCACUCAAUAUGUCAGUGGAUGAGGUUUACCACUUUUUUGGUGCCUGCAUUUUGAUGUCCUGCAUCCGAUACCCAACUAUCAGGAUGUACUGGUCUUCUUAGACAUGUGAAGAUCAAUCUCUGACCUCUGAGCUCCCGUAAGCAAAAUUGUUCCUUUUUUUCCACUGUGAUGUUCAAAACACAUUAAUAGUCUGAUGCAACAGUGACAAUUUUAAAUGCUUGCUUUGAAUGUUUUAUAUUUUGUUACAAGCAUACAAUGUCAUCCUGCAACUGUUUGCAGCUUUUCAAAUGAACUAUGAGUUAAUGUUUACUGUCCAAAAGGGCAAAAAUGCAAUGUUUCCAUGUUUUUUUUCCACUCUCCGAUAUUCAAAACAUGUUCAAACAUGUGUGUAUGGCUUAAUACAUGCAAAAGCAGUCAGAAAAAAAAAAAAAAAACUGCCAUGUUCAAGGUGGAAAUAAAGAGUUUUUCACUCUGUUACACAAAGUUGACUUGAUUGUGUUUUGUGGAAAUUCGGAACAUGAGUCCACAUAUGUGGACAUAAUUUUUCUCUGAAAGUACAUAACAUCAGAAGAUGUUUAGUUUUUAUUCUAAUUAGGCUCCAAUAAACCCAAAUAGUAAAGAGAAAUAAAAAAUGCAUGUAAAAAAAAAAUAAAUAAAAAAAACAAACACCUUGGGCCUUAGGAGAUAGAGAUAUAGAUAGAUAUCUAUCUCUAUACACACGCAAUCUCGCAGGCACCAACAUAUUUAGGGGGCAAAAAUGUUUUUCGAAUGGCUGCUUAUUUGUGUUCUGAGCCAUCAUAGUACAGACACGGUGAACAGACACUGCGGUCACAAGUUGAUCUGGCCUGCUUCUGUGUCCAAGGGGCAGCUGUGUGUCUGCUGUAAAGAGUGAAAUAGUUGAUAUCGCGGGAGUCCACUGUGGUUCUGUUGGCUUGUUGAGUUACGGACAGGGUUGGAGUUCCCCCCCCCCCCCUCACUGAGUACAAGUUCGAGUCUCGUACUGUAUUUAUCUAUUUUCAUUUCAAAGGGUUCCAUAGUUCGCCUAUGUGAUGCAUGUUUAUUCAAACAGCAAAGACGAGUCACUGCAUUUUAUUAAUAUUUAUUAGAGAUACACAUUCAAAGGAAGAGCAGCUCUCCCUUUUCCUGUUUACAGCAACUUCCGUAACAACCAGCAACAAAAACAACGACUGACAGUCAGCCACACACUUACUCAAACAGGAGGCCGAACACGUAUCAGAAAACCUGAACAAAAAAAGGCUUAACCGAGAACAGCUACGUCUUCUCUUCCCGUUUUCAACAUCUGGUGUAGCUACGGCGACCACAGACGCAUUCGGCUCACGGUCGCCAGUUAACAUAGCCCCACGUUAAUCUGAAACACCGGACGUCGGAACCGCCGCGGUUUGGAUAUUUUCCAAAGUAGUAUUUUCCUCGGACGGAGCCUCAGGAUUUCUCCCCCUUUUUCACAUUGUUUAUUCUGGCAUGGAUGUCAGUGUCGGAUAUAUCACUGAAAUCCCCCAGAUACAUGGCUGGAUCGGUGUUGUAAUACCUCUGAGCGGAGUGGUCGAUUAAUUCUGUAAGUAACAAACAAACCCGUAUUGCUUUGCUCAUGCACUGCUUUACAUACACCAUACAUCGACUUAAAAAAAAAAAAAAAAAAAAAAAAAAAAAA